GGAUUAGAUACCCUGGUAGUCCGCACCAUAAACGAUGGAUACUAGAUGUUUGGAGAAUUAACCCUCCGAGUAUCAAAGCUCACGCAUUAAGUAUCCCGCCUGGGGAGUACGGCCGCAAGGCUGAAACUCAAAGGAAUUGACGGGGGCCCGCACAAGCGGUGGAGUAUGUGGUUUAAUUCGAAGCAACGCGCAGAACCUUACCUGGGUUUGACAUCCUACGAAUACUGCAGAGAUGUAGUAGUCCCGCAAGGGACGUAGAGACAGGUGCUGCAUGGCUGUCGUCAGCUCGUGCCG
This 294-nucleotide ribosomal RNA is filed under the name uncultured bacterium. RNAcentral's name for it is "partial 16S ribosomal RNA". It matches the Rfam family "Bacterial small subunit ribosomal RNA", at positions 775 to 1067 of the family's 1533-position model. The record is from RNAcentral.